GUAGUCGUGGCUGAGUGGUUAAGGCGAUAGACUUGAAAUCCAUUGGGGUCUCCCUGCGCAGGUUCAAAUCCUGCAGACUACU
RNAcentral lists this transfer RNA (82 nucleotides) under Danio rerio (zebrafish). RNAcentral's name for it is "tRNA-Ser (TGA) (tRNA-Ser-TGA-98-1)". It matches the Rfam family "tRNA". From Rfam's summary of the family: Transfer RNA (tRNA) molecules are approximately 80 nucleotides in length. The record is from Rfam by way of RNAcentral. Lineage: Eukaryota; Metazoa; Chordata; Actinopteri; Cypriniformes; Danionidae.